This 476-nucleotide ribosomal RNA is filed under the name Curicta volxemi. RNAcentral's name for it is "partial 16S ribosomal RNA". It matches the Rfam family "Bacterial large subunit ribosomal RNA", at positions 1796 to 2542 of the family's 2925-position model. Lineage: Eukaryota; Metazoa; Arthropoda; Insecta; Hemiptera; Nepidae. The record is from RNAcentral.
UCGCCUGUUUUAACAAAAACAUGUCCUCUAGUAUAUUUGUUUGAGGUCUGACCUGCCCGAUGAUGUUUUUUGAAUGGCCGCGGUAUUUUGACCGUGCAAAGGUAGCAUAAUCAUUUGUCUUUUAAUUGAAGGCUGGUAUGAAUGGUUGGACGAGAAAUAGACUUUCUUUAUUUUAUUAAUAAGAAUUUUAUUUUUGAGUCAAAAAGCUCAGAUUUUUUUAUGGGACGAGAAGACCCUAUAGAAUUUUAUAGGUUUUAUUUAAUAUUAGUUUUGUUUAUUUUUUAUAUUAUUUAUAUUCUAUUUUGUUGGGGUGACAGGAAAAUAUUUUUAACUUUUCUUUUUAUUUUUCAUUAAUUUAUGUUUUUUUGAUCCAUUUUUAGUGAUUAUAAGAUUAAAUUACCUUAGGGAUAACAGCGUAAUUCUUUUGGAGAGUUCUUAUCGAUAAAGGAGUUUGCGACCUCGAUGUUGGAUUAAAA